Bubalus bubalis (water buffalo) is the source of this 799-nucleotide long non-coding RNA. RefSeq lists it as uncharacterized. The record is from RefSeq and is a predicted model, not a curated record. Lineage: Eukaryota; Metazoa; Chordata; Mammalia; Artiodactyla; Bovidae. The transcript is spliced from 2 exons.
UGACACAUAGAAAGUCCUAAAUACAUAAUUUUGAGUGAAUGAAUCCAUUAUUUCUUGUGUGCUUAUCUCAUAUUAGGCAUUUGUGCAUGUAUCUAUAAAGCAACUUUGAAAGACAGUACAAUAUAGAAGUUAAGACCAUUCUUUAUCUUUAGUAUUAGAAAUAUUUGUGUUCAAAGCCUUGCUAUGAAUUUGGACUGUGUUUCUAGAAGAAGAAGCUGUGAAGAGGCUUCCUGUGCAGGUGAUGAAACUAGUCUCAGGAGAAACUUGUAAGAAAGUGAGGGCGGCAGGAUAAAGCAGAGUAAGUAGCUAGACAAAGAUGUGGUGGUUUCUGCAGUCUCAGUCUGGCUUCAGUACAAUCCUGUCGAGAGCGCCAGAGCUGCACCAGGGUCAGUAUUGCCUUGAAAAAAGGGGGCUGGCUUUUGUACUCACAUCAGUCAGCUAUUGGCUGCAGGUGGCCCUAGGCAGGAGCAUCAUAGGCUCUGAAGCAUCUCCAGGCGCGGGGGAUCCCGUUGACUUCAAGAGGAAUGGAGCAAUAAGUGCACUUUCCUCAUGGGACAUUUGAAGAGGAGUGGAACCAGCAGAAAAAAAGAAAAAAACCAGAACCAAAAAGCCUUUUGGGAUUUUCUCUCAAAGCCUAAACCUUUUAUUAGUGAAAAGAGAUUUAAGACCAGAGACAAUGACUUGAAGAAAUGGGGAGGCCAAAGACAAUGACCUGAAAAAAUGAAAAGAUGUCAUUUGUUUCAUUCGAUUUAGGGUUUGGUACCCUGGAGAAGGAAAGAGAAUAUGAACAGCAAGGUAG